RNAcentral lists this transfer RNA (72 nucleotides) under Camelus bactrianus (Bactrian camel). It matches the Rfam family "tRNA". Rfam says of the family: Transfer RNA (tRNA) molecules are approximately 80 nucleotides in length. Their secondary structure includes four short double-helical elements and three loops (D, anti-codon, and T loops). Further hydrogen bonds mediate the characteristic L-shaped molecular structure. tRNAs have two regions of fundamental functional importance: the anti-codon, which is responsible for specific mRNA codon recognition, and the 3' end, to which the tRNAs corresponding amino acid is attached (by aminoacyl-tRNA synthetases). tRNAs cope with the degeneracy of the genetic code in two manners: having more than one tRNA (with a specific anti-codon) for a particular amino acid; and 'wobble' base-pairing, i.e. permitting non-standard base-pairing at the 3rd anti-codon position. The record is from Rfam by way of RNAcentral. Lineage: Eukaryota; Metazoa; Chordata; Mammalia; Artiodactyla; Camelidae. RNAcentral also lists the same sequence under 2 other names.
GAAGGUAUAGCUCAGUUAUAGAGUACAUGCUUAGUAUGCACGAGGUCCUGAGUUCAAUCCCCAGGACCCUUG